Molecule: transfer RNA, 72 nt
Filed under: Ovis aries (sheep)
Lineage: Eukaryota; Metazoa; Chordata; Mammalia; Artiodactyla; Bovidae
Rfam family: tRNA
About the family: Transfer RNA (tRNA) molecules are approximately 80 nucleotides in length. Their secondary structure includes four short double-helical elements and three loops (D, anti-codon, and T loops).
Source: Rfam by way of RNAcentral
UCCCUGGUAGUCCAGCAACUAAGACUCUGCGCUCCCAAUGCAGGGACCCUGGUUCCAUCCCUGGUCAGGGAA